RNAcentral lists this ribosomal RNA (464 nucleotides) under uncultured Prosthecobacter sp. RNAcentral's name for it is "partial 16S ribosomal RNA". Lineage: Bacteria; Pseudomonadati; Verrucomicrobiota; Verrucomicrobiia; Verrucomicrobiales; Verrucomicrobiaceae. The record is from RNAcentral.
GACUACUAGGGUAUCUAAUCCCGUUUGCUCCCCUGGCUUUCGUGCCUCAGUGUCAGUAACUGCCCAGUGACCUGCCUUCGCCGUUGGUAUUCCUCUCGAUAUCUACGCAUUUCACUGCUACACCGAGAAUUCUAGUCACCUCUUCAGUACUCUAGCACGGCAGUAUCGGAUGCAAUUCCGAGGUUGAGCCCCGGGCUUUCACAUCUGACUUACCACGCCACCUACGCACCCUUUACGCCCAGUGAUUCCGAACAACGCUUGAGACCUCUGUAUUACCGCGGCUGCUGGCACAGAGUUAGCCGUCUCUUCCUCUUGUGGUACCAUCAAUCUGCAAGGUUAUUAACCCGGCAGCCUUGUUCUCACAUGACAGGAGUUUACAAUCCGAAGACCUUAUCCUCCACGCGGCGUCGCUCCAUCAGGGUUGCCCCCAUUGUGAAAGAUUCUCGACUGCAGCCCCCCGUAGG